AUGGCAAAGACUUGAAAGGGUAUUUUUCCCAAUGAAGUAAACUCAACUUGUUAGGAAGACAUUUUAGAUAAUUUGAUUGAAAUCUUGAUUCAGUAAAAUUUGAGCAAUCCCUGUAAAAUUUUAGCAAUCUCAAGUUGGGCAUUCGUAAGAAGACUGAAUCAUUCAAAUAUAGCCUUCCAAUUUCAGACAUGUUCAAAAGUAGGCCUUCAACUGC
Molecule: unclassified non-coding RNA, 214 nt
Filed under: Hevea brasiliensis (rubber tree)
Lineage: Eukaryota; Viridiplantae; Streptophyta; Magnoliopsida; Malpighiales; Euphorbiaceae
Source: RNAcentral